This 253-nucleotide ribosomal RNA is filed under the name uncultured bacterium. RNAcentral describes it as "partial 16S ribosomal RNA". It matches the Rfam family "Bacterial small subunit ribosomal RNA", at positions 524 to 776 of the family's 1533-position model. The record is from RNAcentral.
UACGAAGGGGGCUAGCGUUGCUCGGAAUCACUGGGCGUAAAGCGCACGUAGGCGGAUUGCUAAGUCAGGGGUGAAAUCCUGGAGCUCAACUCCAGAACUGCCUUUGAUACUGGCGAUCUCGAGUCCGGGAGAGGUGAGUGGAACUCCGAGUGUAGAGGUGAAAUUCGUAGAUAUUCGGAAGAACACCAGUGGCGAAGGCGGCUCACUGGCCCGGUACUGACGCUGAGGUGCGAAAGCGUGGGGAGCAAACAGG